UUCAGCGGCGGACGGGUGAGUAACGGCUGGGAACCUGCCCUGACGAGGGGGAUAACCGUUGGAAACGACGGCUAAUACCGCAUAAUGUCUACGGACCAAAGGUGGCCUCUACAUGUAAGCUAUCGCGUUGGGAUGGGCCCAGUUAGGAUUAGCUAGUUGGUAAGGUAAUGGCUUACCAAGGCGACGAUCCUUAGCUGGUUUGAGAGGAUGAUCAGCCACACUGGGACUGAGACACGGCCCAGACUCCUACGGGAGGCAGCAGUGGGGAAUAUUGCACAAUGGGGGAGACCCUGAUGCAGCCAUGCCGCGUGUGUGAAGAAGGCCUUCGGGUUGUAAAGCACUUUCAGCAGUGAGGAAGGUGGUGUACUUAAUASGUGCAYGGCUUGACGUUAGCUGCAGAAGAAGCACCGGCUAACUCCGUGCCAGCAGCCGCGGUAAUACGGAGGGUGCGAGCGUUAAUCGGAAUUACUGGGCGUAAAGCGCAUGCAGGCGGUUUGUUAAGUCAGAUGUGAAAGCCCGGGGCUCAACCUCGGAACCGCAUUUGAAACUGGCAGGCUAGAGUCUUGUAGAGGGGGGUAGAAUUUCAGGUGUAGCGGUGAAAUGCGUAGAGAUCUGAAGGAAUACCAGUGGCGAAGGCGGCCCCCUGGACAAAGACUGACGCUCAGAUGCGAAAGCGUGGGUAGCAAACAGGAUUAGAUACCCUGGUAGUCCACGCCGUAAACGCUGUCUACUUGGAGGUUGAGGUUUAGACUUUGGCUUUCGGCGCUAACGCAUUAAGUAGACCGCCUGGGGAGUACGGCCGCAAGGUUAAAACUCAAAUGAAUUGACGGGGGCCCGCACAAGCGGUGGAGCAUGUGGUUUAAUUCGAUGCAACGCGAAGAACCUUACCUACUCUUGACAUCCAGAGAACUUUCCAGAGAUGGAUUGGUGCCUUCGGGARCKCUGAGACAGGUGCUGCAUGGCUGUCGUCAGCUCGUGUUGUGGCCUUGUACACACCGCCCGUCACACCAUGGGAGUGGGCUGCACCAGAAGUAGAUAGCUUAACCUUCGGGAGGGCGUUUACCACGGUGUGGUUCAUGACUGGGGUGAAGUCGUAACAAGGUAGCCCUAGGGGAACCUGGGGCUGGAUCACCUCCUUAC
Molecule: ribosomal RNA, 1140 nt
Filed under: Salinivibrio siamensis
Lineage: Bacteria; Pseudomonadati; Pseudomonadota; Gammaproteobacteria; Vibrionales; Vibrionaceae
Description: bacterial SSU rRNA
Rfam family: Bacterial small subunit ribosomal RNA
Source: RNAcentral